UGGAGAUCAGGGUCACCGGGAGCAUCGACGCACGGACGCACGUCAUGAACUUCCCGCUGCCAAAAGUUCAGUUUUGGCUAGAUUGCAGGUUUGGAACCAACUACACCGACAUUGUGCUGCGUGAAGGAAUCAAGUCCAUGAUGACACGCAAGGCUCUCCUCGUAUCUUCACUGCCUCACAUCUCGCAGAAGUGCUCUAUCAAGAUUGACUUGAGGUCCAGACGAAAGAGGGCUAGUCUUGACGAUCUAGGAUGCUGAUACUUAGCCUUACAGCUUCAGAUUAUUUUUUAUUGUGUGAAAAAUUUUACCUAGGGAAAAUUAAUUCUUUUCGGUGUCCCCAAGAUGUAAAUAC
Panicum hallii is the source of this 351-nucleotide long non-coding RNA. RefSeq lists it as uncharacterized. The transcript has 3 exons. Lineage: Eukaryota; Viridiplantae; Streptophyta; Magnoliopsida; Poales; Poaceae. The record is from RefSeq and is a predicted model, not a curated record.